UGGAUGUAGCUCAGUGGUAGAGCACCUGGUUGUGGUCCAGGCGGCCGCGGGUUCGAUCCCCGUCAUCCAGCCA
This 73-nucleotide transfer RNA is filed under the name Candidatus Levybacteria bacterium RIFOXYC1_FULL_40_10. RNAcentral's name for it is "tRNA-His". It matches the Rfam family "tRNA". Rfam says of the family: Transfer RNA (tRNA) molecules are approximately 80 nucleotides in length. Their secondary structure includes four short double-helical elements and three loops (D, anti-codon, and T loops). The record is from RNAcentral. Lineage: Bacteria; Candidatus Levyibacteriota.